GCCGGAAGGACCGCUGCGCUGACACGGGGGAGACCCGCGCGGCUUUCCACCCCAAAGGGGCCGGUGAGGUGUGGUUCUCUUCCAGGCGGAGAAAACUGUUAUGCCAAGAGAGACUUACUUCCACUUCCUCACUCCUUUACCAGAGUAAACCACUUAAACUUUGCUGGUGAACAGAUCUGUUAUGCAACUUCUGGUGGCUUCCAGAUGACCUCUUGCCACUUACAGAAAUUUGUAAAGACAUCUUAAGAACCCUAGAACUUCAAACUCCAAAGAGUAGGCCAUUAAAUUAUUUUCACUGGCCAAAAAGGUUGAAGAUAGCAGGGGGAACAGGAAAUAAUCGCAAGUUGAGAAACACUGCUUUAGAGCAAGACUGGCUUUCCCCUUCCCAGCUGGCCCAUUCUGCACCCUUUCUGGUUACUUGCCAGAUACUUUUCAGGUCUGCUUUGCUCCCCCACACAACAAGAAAUACUGGUAGCUGGAGCAUCUUCUCCCUUAUGAUCCUAGCAAGGCUCUUGGAGUCAUUGUAGUUCGGAGCACCCUACAAUGGUGGUCAGCAGUCCUUCUAAGCAGCAGGUUUUGCUGCUGCUACUGCCGUCACUACCACCUACAUUUUCCCUAGGAGCGGAGUGGUGCUUUGGAGUAAAAGAAAGUAAACCUGCUUGUUUUGAAGGGGAGCAGAAUCUACAAAAAGAAGCUUGUAACAGGUUCUGUAUUAGGACACAGCUGCAUUAGAAAGUUGAAAGGUUUGCAAGCGGGAGGAAAGGAGCAUACUAUUCUAGGGGCAUUGAAUCCUCAGAAAGCAGAGGAGAUUUUCUAGUUAUAAAUCUGGAGUUGGGCUAAGGACAUAUGAAUAGCCAAAAUUAGUGUGGAUUGGAUCAGAAGCAUUUUACUAACCUUCUGGAACCAUGCAUAAUGGCAUUGUGAAUUUAUACAGAAUCUAGCACAAUGCCUGUGUGAUUCUUAUGGUUGCUAUUGCACACUACCCCUUUUCAGAGAAGGGCAAAUAUGGCAUAUGAAGUUGUGGGAUACACUCAUCCUCUACAGGUAAAACUUCCUUCUGUCUCCUAUCCACUGCUGUUUUUGCAGAAAGAGUGUAAAGCCAGGUCCUUUCUGGGGGUAGAACAAGUUCAUUUUGAGCAAAAUGAACAAGUUCAUGGCUCUGCUGAGGGACACAGCUCAAAUAGCUCUUGGAUUCUUGUACUCCAUUCUAAGCAAAAGUAUAUAGUUAGACUUGAAUGGAUGUUCAGUUGUUAGUAGAGAAUUUUUAUACUGUCACACAAGUCACAUUAGACAUUUUAAAUUGGUGACUGCUAGGUGUUUAGAACACAGAGUAUUAUCCUUCAGCCUUUUAUGUAACAAAUGUGGGCAUUAAGCACUGGUUUUAAAAGUUAAUGUAACUUCUUAAAAGGGGCUUUUCUUUAUAUCUUUAAGGUAUUAAGAGCUCAUUGUAUUACAUAUUAUUUUAAUACAAUUUUAUUUUAAUAUUUCAUGUGUUUUUAUAAUUUAUCUGGUUUUUAUUGUAAGUUGCCCUAAGCUGUCUUGGGGAGGGUAGCAUAUGUAUAUAAUAAAAAAGACUACUUGUUCAAGUAGUCUCUUUGCAGUUGUUGAUAUUCCCUGUGUGAGUAAAGCCAGUCACUUGACUGCGUUUAUUAAAUUCUGUCCUUGUACAUGGACUUGACGUUGGACUCAUUGUGCUGUUAGCGCUUUUGAUUUGCAAGAGUUAGGCCUUGGUACACAUUUAUUUAAUAGCUCAAUGGGAUCCAAUCCCUGAUCCCAACAGUCCUGUCUCCUGCUGUGCCACACAUACAUGGCAGGAUGCAUGAUUUUCAAAUUAGGAACCAGAUCUCAAUUGCAUUAUUAUUACUUGUCAGUGCAGGGGGAGUCUGGGAUCAUAAUGAUGAUCCCAAACUCCUUCUGUACCUACAAGUUGAUUGCCAAGUGCCUGCAGCCUGUCAUGAACUGGAGAGAUCCCAGAACUGGGACUGACCAUUGGCUGAUUGUUGGUUUCAGCCCCAGGAUUGCACUGGAGCCCAUUCAGAACUUCAGUACAGUCCUGGGGCUGGGACUGACAAUCAGUUGUUUGAUGGUCUCAACCCUGGGAUCACACCAGAGCUGGUUUGAGACUCUGAUGCAGUCCUAGACCUGGGACUGACUAUCAGUUGAUGGUGAGUCUCAGCCCUGGGACCACAGCAGAGCCAGUUACCAAUCAACAGAUUUUGCAUUCCAGCCCCUGAACUACACUGGAGCCAGUCCUAGAACCCCAUGCACCAGGAUGUUAGAAAAUCUUGUGUGCAGCCCAACUGCAUGCAUAGAUUUUGAAGGCCCUGGCAUGCUGGUGCCCCAGGGUUCAGGAGAGGUUCCCUGAUCCCUGGGUUCCUAUGCACCAGCAAUGUUAGAAAAUCACAUGUGCAGCUAGGUUGUACACAUGGGUUUUAAAGUUCAGGUUACUGUUUAUGGUGCAAUUAAUAGCUUAAUCACAUCUUAGGCUUAAUGUCUGCCAGGGGACUUAAAAAACAUCUUCAGUUUCUAUUUCUGUAUCUGCUAUGCUAUGUGAAGGUAACCAUUUCUUCAGUCUUCACAUUAAGUUCACUCUGGCGAAUAUGAAAGCACUCUGGAAUUACCUAAAAUUAAUACUUUUGGCUUUUUCAGAACACUUCAGGUGCUGAGUGAUGGGACUAAUUAACAGGUGAUGAGCUGUGCUAAAUAAAAAUUGUUGCUUGAGGAAGUAUUGCAGAGGAAAUACAACUACAGUGGUGGAGAAGGGUGGCAGCACCUGACCCUAAUCACAUGGUAAUUGUUGAGUAGUUGCUGCAGAGUGGUAAACCGAGGCACCAAUCUGAAAGCUUUCUUUUCCUUUUUCUUUUCCUUUUUUCUCUUUUCUUUCUUAUCAGACCAAGCUCCUUCAGCUAGGUCCCUCUCUCAUAGACCCUCCUGUAACUUUUAAGUUAAGAACUGUGCUGGAAUAACUUUAAGACCGUGCUAUAGAGUUAAGAGUUGUACUUUAGAACUAAGAUUGUAGAGUAAUACUGUGUCAGUGUGAAAUCUAAGUGACUGUGUGAAAGAGGCUUUUUGAUAGUGAUCAUUAGUGUGAUAAGGGAAAUGGAGAUGUCUGGUAAAACCCCUUUAGCUGCUCGUUUGAGGCAGGAGAAACCCUGCAGGUUAGAGAGAUGGGUAAUGAAGAAGGGAAAAUAUCCCUGGGAAAAAGUGUGCUUCAAGGGUGAGAAUCCCCUGACUGAGGCAGGUUUGAGUUUUGAACAGUAUUGCACCAAUCUUAAGCCACGUAGUAGUGCAAAAAUUGCAGCUGCUGCCUGGGCAUUGUUUUAUGCAUGUUUGGAAAUGAUCGAAAUGUUAAAGGAGAAGCAGGAAUUGGAGCUUGAAAAAGAACAGUUACAACAGCGUUUGAGAGAUUGUGAGAUUUUAUAGCAGAAAAGCUUAAAAUGGUAACUUUACUUAGAGAUAUACAGGAAGACAGAGACAAGGCAAGCAAGACUUUAGAGUUGUAUAAGAAAGAAUUAGCACACACAAAAGUGUUGUUAGAAGAAGCGAGAGCAGCAACUCGUUUUCUGGCAAAGGAAAACAAGGCAGCAAAGACAGCAGCAAGCCAUCAGAAGUGUGAGGCAGAGAUCAGUAAAUUGCAUGCCCAACUUAGUGCCCAUAAGAGGGUGGUAGCAGCUGUAAGGUUAAAAGAGGAUUGUGACUUUGAGUCCCCUGGGAAAAUAGAGAUACUCCCUGAUGCAGUCCCCAAAAGCCCAUUUAACCCCGAUUGGCACUACGUGCAUAAUGUUGCUCCUGUUACCACAAAGGAGGUUAAAUGCUUAGUUGCAGGAGAAUAUCUUCCCACAGCGGAGAUAGUCACUGACAUAGUGAGAUGGUCUCCCAGUCAAGCCAAGGCUAUUGCUGAGAGACUGGGGCCACUGAACUGAGACACUGCCAUUGUGUGGCUGGCUUGUGUUUGGCAAAUGUACCCCUCUGCUGAUGGCAUAGACUUAACUCAAUUAGUUCAGUUAUGUGCCUCUCCUUGUGAUGCAGAUGCUCUAGGCAUGGGCAUAGGUUCUUGGGAGCGAACUGCUCCUGGACCCCAGGAAUGGAUAAUAAGUGCUCUUAACAUAUUACUGCCUGCUUCUUCCCUUAAGAAAUUGUAUGUAAUGGAAGAGCAGAAGCCAGGAAAAGCCCCAGAAUCUUACCUGAUCUGAAAGAAAAUGCUAGCAGCUCUCUCUGAUUCAUUACCCCAGACAGAAGAGAAUGGAGUUAUCACUCUCCAUUAUCAGGGACCUGAAUUAAUAUGGAGCACCUAUGCAGGGUUAAAUUCCCAGACCAAAAUGACCAUAGGGGUUGUGGAUUUAGAACACAUAACCUGGAAUGAACUAGUGGCAAAAAUCAAACAGACAGGAGAUUUGCUGCGAGAGACUGGUGUUUUAAAGAGACAAGCAGGCAACAAGAUUACAUCAGAGCCUGUGCAGGCUAUCACCUUUGCAAAUAAUGGUCCUCACUCUGCCAGUCAUUCUCCCAAUUCUAAUCCCCCUUUGCCUCACAACCCUGGGCAACGACAACCCAAGGAGACCCUUAGGAGAAUGAUUUGGAAAGAGCUAGUGAAUUUAGGGGAAGAUAUGGGAAAAUAUGAUCGCCAAUUAGUGUCCUGAUUAAUGCUUUGUCUCAAGCCAUGCGGAGAGCAGAGUUAAUGCAGGGAGCACCUCCUCUGCCUGCUGCCCCAGUACAGAGUGCAUCCCAUGUGUUGCGCCAGACCCCUGCCUUCUCUCCUGAGUGGAGGCUCCAGAGGGAGUCUGCUGAUCAGUAGGAGUGCCCGGUUCUCCUCGGGCCUCCCCAACUGGUCACAAGACUUCAGUGUGAUGUAUGGGGGAGACCCACUGUGAGGGCUGCAGUGGGGAACCCAGGGAUGUUAGCCCAAUUGCUAGUGGAUACUGUAUCCUCAGUAAAUAUUCAAAGUCCCUGGUGGAUCUCUGGAGGGAGACCCACCACAAAACAUGUACAGCUCAGCGGAUAUGGGGGAGAAAUCCAGGAAGCUCCUGUCUGGCAGGAUGUUCCCUUGCAAAUUGACAGAUUGCAAGGAAAAGUAGAGUGCUGUGCUCAUGAGGGAAAUGAGAAGGGAAUCCUAGGAGUUCCUUUCCUCCAGGCAUUUCAGCUAACUGUAGAUCUAGCUAAUGGGGUGUUAUGGAAGUUAAAAGGAGGACCUGCAGAAGUCUCUGCUAUGCAUCGUUGUGCUGCCAUAAAGGCACCUACUGCCACCCUAAUCUCCAGUAGUGAUCCAUGGGUACAAGAAUUUCCCAGUGUGUGGACUGGGAAAAGGCGGAGUGUGGAAAAAUAAAUGCUGAAGUUUUGAUUGAAGGAAAAGAUCCCCCUCCUCAAAGACAGUAUAAAUACCCAGCUGCAGCAGGGGAAGGCAUUAAAACGACUAUAAACUGUCUCUUAGAACAAGGAGUGCUUGUGCCUAUGCAAAGUAUUUGCAAUUCACCAGUAUGGCCAGUCCUUAAAGCGGACGGGGUCAUUUAUAGAAUGACAAUAGACUUCCAUGCCUUAAACGCAGCCACCCAUGCCGCUGCUCCUGUGCUAACUAACUACAACGAGAUCUUAGCAGCAGUAGCAGCUGGCUCCAAAUGGUUCUUUGUAAUAGAUUUGGCUAAUGCUUUCAUAGCUAUACCUCUCCAUUUUUCAUGUUGGUAUAAGUUUGCUUUUACCUAUAGGGGACAAUAAUAUGCCUUCAGUCGAACUCCCCAAGGUUUCCAUUCUUCCCCUAGUAUUUGUCACGCCCAUGUCACUAAAAUGUGGAACCGUUUGAGCCCUAAACACCACUCACAUGUAAUUUCAUACGUGGAUGACAUUUUGAUACAUACCCCCACUUCAGAAAUGAACAGAGAAAUCACUAAGGAGUUGCUGACUAUAGUACAGGAAACUGGAUUUAAGGUAAAUAGAGAAAAGGCUCAGUUAGUGCAGCAACAAGUGAAAUACCUGGGUGUAUGUCUUGGAGAGGAUGGCAGGACUCCAGAUCAGCAAAGGGUAAAAACAGUAGGAAGUCUGCCUGCUCCCACAGACACACACACUCUUUGCGAGCUCUUCUGGGAACUUUUAACUUCUCCAGAGAAUUCAUUGAAAUGUUCUCUGACAAAGCUAAGCCUCUGUACAAAUUAUUAAAGAAAAACAGGAUUUGGGAAUGGAGAGCAGACCAACAAACUUCCCUGGCUACCUUAAAACAAGAUUUAGCUUGUGCUCUGGCUCUGGGAUAUCCGGAUCCUGUCCUUCCUUUUGUGAUUCAGUUGGCCUCCUCAGAAACAAGUAUUGGAGCCACUCUUAGUCAAAAGCAAUGUGAUAAACUCUGAGUCACUGCAUGUGCCUCCAGGCUCCUAAAUCAAACAGAGCAAGGCUUCACCCCCUGUGAAAAGGAGUGUCAUGCCCUGGUCUGGAGCGUCACUCAUUGGGAAUUUAUUAUUGGAGGGUCAAAGGUCAUUGUUCAGACUGUGCAUUCCCCGCUAAAGUGCAUCAUAUCAGGGAAAAUACAAGACGGCCAGGUUUCUAACCCACACAUUGCUCAGCGGA
Alligator mississippiensis (American alligator) is the source of this 6549-nucleotide RNA transcript. It is a transcript of the gene named splicing factor 3A subunit 2-like, with no coding region annotated. NCBI's taxonomy places the organism in Eukaryota, Metazoa, Chordata, Crocodylia, Alligatoridae. The record is from RefSeq and is a predicted model, not a curated record. The transcript is spliced from 4 exons.